This 460-nucleotide ribosomal RNA is filed under the name uncultured bacterium. RNAcentral describes it as "partial 16S ribosomal RNA". It matches the Rfam family "Bacterial small subunit ribosomal RNA", at positions 338 to 795 of the family's 1533-position model. The record is from RNAcentral.
CCUACGGGCGGCAGCAGUGAGGAAUAUUGGUCAAUGGCCGGAAGGCUGAACCAGCCAAGCCGCGUGAAGGACGAAGGUGCCAAGCAUUGUAAACUUCUUUUGUCACGGGACAAAAUCAGGCUCUAGAGCCUGACCGAGGGUACUUGAAGAAAAAGCAUCGGCUAACUCCGUGCCAGCAGCCGCGGUAAUACGGAGGAUGCAAGCGUUGUUCGGAGUGACUGGGCGUAAAGAGAAAGUAGGCGGUGUUGUAAGUCAUUAGUCAAAGACUAGGGCUUAACUUGAGUAAGGCUAGUGUUACUAUAAUACUAGAGUAUAAGAGAGGAUAGCAGAAUUCCUGGUGUAGCGGUGAAAUGCGUAGAUAUCAGGAGGAAUACCGUUGGCGAAGGCGGCAAUCUGGCUGGAAACUGACGCUGAGGUGCGAAAGCGUGGGUAGCAAACAGGAUUAGAUACCCCAGUAGUC